ACGAUGAUGUGUAGCCGGACUGAGAGGUUGAACAGCCACAUUGGGACUGAGACACGGCCCAAACUCCUACGGGAGGCAGCAGUAGGGAAUUUUCGGCAAUGGAGGAAACUCUGACCGAGCAACGCCGCGUGAACGGUGAAGUAUUUCGGUACGUAAAGUUCUUUUAUUAGGGAAGAAUAAAUGAUGGAAAACCAUCAUUUUCACGGUACCUAAUGAAUAAGCCCCGGCUAACUAUGUGCCAGCAGCCGCGGUAAUACAUAGGGGGCAAGCGUUAUCCGGAAUUAUUGGGCGUAAAGGGUGCGUAGGCGGUUAAAUAAGUUUAUGCUCUAAGUGCAAUGCUCAACAUUGUGAUGCUAUAAAAACUGUUUAGCUAGAGUAAGAUAGAGGCAAGUGGAAUUCCAUGUGUAGUGGUAAAAUGCGUAAAUAUAUGGAGGAACACCAGUAGCGAAGGCGGCUUGCUGGGUCUUUACUGACGCUGAGGCACGAAAGCGUGGGGAGCAAACAGGAUUAGAUACCCUGGUAGUCCACGCCGUAAACGAUGAGUACUAAACGUUGGGUAAAACCAGUGUUGAGGUUAACACAUUAAGUACUCCGCCUGAGUAGUACGUACGCAAGUAUGAAACUUAAAGGAAUUGACGGGACUCCGCACAAGCGGUGGAUCAUGUUGUUUAAUUCGAAGGUACCCGAAAAACCUCACCAGGUCUUGACAUGCUUCUGCAAAGCUGUAGAAACACAGUGGAGGUUAUCAGUUGCACAGGUGGUGCAUGGUUGUCGUCAGCUCGUGUCGUGAGAUGUUGGGUUAAGUCCCGCAACGAGCGCAACCCUUAUUGUUAGUUUCCAGCACGUAAUGGUGGGGACUUUAGCAAGACUGCCAGUGAUAAAUUGGAGGAAGGUGGGGAUGACGUCAAAUCAGCAUGCCCCUUAUGACCUGGGCUACAAACGUGAUACAAUGGCUGUUACAAAGGGUAGCUGAAGCGCAAGUUUUUGGCGAAUCUCAAAAAAACAGUCUCAGUCCGGAUUGAAGUCUGCAACACGACUUCAUGAAGUUGGAAUCGCUAGUAAUCGCGAAUCAGCAUGUCGCGGUGAAUACGUUCUCGGGGUUUGUACACACCAACCACUAGU
RNAcentral lists this ribosomal RNA (1122 nucleotides) under 'Opuntia ficus-indica' phytoplasma. Its description in RNAcentral is "bacterial SSU rRNA". It matches the Rfam family "Bacterial small subunit ribosomal RNA", at positions 273 to 1401 of the family's 1533-position model. Lineage: Bacteria; Bacillati; Mycoplasmatota; Mollicutes; Acholeplasmatales; Acholeplasmataceae. The record is from RNAcentral.